GACGAACGCUGGCGGCGUGCCUAAUACAUGCAAGUAGAACGCUGAAGAGAGGAGCUUGCUCUUCUUGGAUGAGUUGCGAACGGGUGAGUAACGCGUAGGUAACCUGCCUGGUAGCAGGGGAUAACUAUUGGAAACGAUAGCUAAUACCGCAUAAAAUUGAUUAUUGCAUGAUAAUUAAUUGAAAGAUGCAAUUGCAUCACUACCAGAUGGACCUGCGUUGUAUUAGCUAGUUGGUGAGGUAACGGCUCACCAAGGCGACGAUACAUAGCCGACCUGAGAGGGUGAUCGGCCACACUGGGACUGAGACACGGCCCAGACUCCUACGGGAGGCAGCAGUAGGGAAUCUUCGGCAAUGGGGGGAACCCUGACCGAGCAACGCCGCGUGAGUGAAGAAGGUUUUCGGAUCGUAAAGCUCUGUUGUAAGAGAAGAACGGGUGUGAGAGUGGAAAGUUCAC
RNAcentral lists this ribosomal RNA (455 nucleotides) under Streptococcus sanguinis. RNAcentral's name for it is "bacterial SSU rRNA". It matches the Rfam family "Bacterial small subunit ribosomal RNA", at positions 28 to 467 of the family's 1533-position model. Lineage: Bacteria; Bacillati; Bacillota; Bacilli; Lactobacillales; Streptococcaceae. The record is from RNAcentral.